This is a long non-coding RNA of Haemorhous mexicanus (house finch), 1858 nucleotides long. RefSeq lists it as uncharacterized. NCBI's taxonomy places the organism in Eukaryota, Metazoa, Chordata, Aves, Passeriformes, Fringillidae. The transcript has 2 exons. The record is from RefSeq and is a predicted model, not a curated record.
GGGGCCGUCGGUCAGCGGCGGGAGCCGCCGGGCCGUCCGCACCGCCGCCAACUUUGGGGAGAGCGAGCCCAGCGCGGAGCCGAACCCGGGAGCGCCCCGCCAGAAGAAGGAGAAACUCGAGCGAUUCCGCGGCGCUGGAAGUUGCUCGCGGGUCCGGGUCGGUAACCAGACACGCGUGUCGCCCGAGGGCUGGCGGGGAGGAACUGAGCCAGACGGGGACACAAAGGAGGGGGGCAGCCCCAGACACGCCGUCCCCGCCCCGCGGCGGCAGCGCCCGGCACCGCCGAGACCCGGGCGGGGACGGCGAGCAGGGAGAGGAUGCCCCCGGUCCCCCCUUUUGUCUGGCUCCGGUGGCACCUGCGGGGGCGAGCGCUCGGCCGCCCCGCCCGCGGACCGUAUCGCGACCGGCGACGGAUUAGCGACAGUUGUGGUCGGGGAGGGCUGAGACAGCCCCGGUCUCGGCGGUUUGGUACUGUGGCCGUGCAGGGCUUGGUUCUAUAAGCCUCAUGUUAAUUAACAAAAUCAUUAAAAAUACAAGAACUGCAAUAAAAUGAGCCCCGACGUGCAGUAUUCCACCAAUUCUUGCUCUAUCACACGCGGAAUUUUUAACGUAACUUGCUCUGAAAGAAAUUUAACAUAUUUGCUCCCAGGCUGUCGACAGUGAUUAGCUGUGCCGAUUGCAGUCAACUCAAUACAAUAUCUAAAAGAAAUUUAAUGUAUUUGCUCCCCCAAACCAUCUGCACUGAUUUACUGUGACGAUUGUAAUGGGCUGUAUAUACGAUAUCUAAAAGAAAUUUAACUUAUUUUCCACCAAAAUCCUCUGCAGUGGUGCUUGGGCUUCUGUGCAUGAUAAAAGAUGUUCAGCGUACAGAAAAAAAAUCUGGUAUUUUCUAAGAAAAUAAUUUUCAUAAACUUUUCCUAUCGUUUCCUCAGCCAAAACAACCCAUUAUGAAAGCUCUAAGUCGAAUUCUUCCACAAGUUUAGCAAGUUGAGAAGGGGACGAUUUGCCCUCCUUGUUUUGCCCAGGAAUGCGAGAUAGCGUGUUUUAAAAGUUAAUAAGUAUUAAAAGCCACGAGGAGCAUCAAAAGUGUAUUUCCAAGCAGCGUGCCGGCCGCGGCGCGAGCAGAGCAGCCGCGCAGCGCCUGCAGCUCCACGCAGAGCAGAGGUUAUUCACAUGGCUGUUCCAGAAACUCCAUUCAUAUCUCUGACUACCUGGAUUUGAAUAGAAACCAGACAGCAAUUCUUUGGUCCCAGCCACUAUUCGCCCCGCUGGACAAUAGAGAUUUGUUAGCACACAGGCACAAGCCCUGGGACACAAAGCUGGAGGCAGCAGAGAUAGGGGCUUCACUGCACAGGAAAUUACAGCUUUUGAUGCACUGUUGGCAGGUCUGUCGGUUCAGAACAGCAACAUGCCUGUGCCAUGUUUAAGAGCUCCUGACUGCCAUUUUUAACCACCUAGAAUGUCAUAAAAGCUUUAUUGUCGCAGUACAUAAAAUCAUGAAGUCCAUAUGGUUACUUUUCAGCUGCCCUAGUCUGGAAGGCAGAAGCAUGAUUUGGCUGGAGAUUUUAAUUUGGGGGGGGGCAUGGGGGAAGAAUUAGAAUUUGAGAACAAAAAAACCUCAAAGUGUUUAAAAAAGCUGAGAUUUGUUACCGAGGCAGCUGAUGUCCAGCCUGAGAUGGGGUGGUGUUCUAACGGACUUGGUUUAGUGGUGGCUGUAAGGGGACGUGGCCGGGCAGCUUAUUUCAUCUUAAAAGGUCCAGUAAAUUUACUCCAUGCAGCUCUAGUACCAGCUGUGGAGAAGAACAUUGUUCAGUUGUGUCAACUUGGCAAACACGAAAAUAAAUAAGAAAAACCAAA